AUCAGGUGGGAUUACCCGCUGAACUUAAGCAUAUCAAUAAGCGGAGGAAAAGAAACUAACAAGGAUUCCCCUAGUAACGGCGAGUGAAGAGGGAAAAGCCCAAAUUUGUAAUCUGGCUCUUUUAGAGUCCGAGUUGUAAUUUUGAGAACUGUUUUCAGUGCUGGACCAUGUUUAAGUCUGUUGAAAAACAGCAUCAUUGAGGGUGAUAAUCCCGUUCAUGAUAUGGACUACCAGUACUUUAUGAUACAGUCUCUAAGAGUCGAGUUGUUUGGGAAUGCAGCUCAAAGUGGGUGGUAAAUUCCAUCUAAGGCUAAAUAUAGGUGAGAGACCGAUAGCAAACAAGUACCGUGAGGGAAAGAUGAAAAGAACUUUGGAAAGAGAGUUAACAGUACGUGAAAUUGCUGAAAGGGAAACAAUUGAAGUUAGCCUUGUUAUUGUCAGUUCAGCUCUUUUAGAGUGUAUUCUGAUGAUUAACGACCAACAUCAGUCUUUGAGUGCUGGAUAAGGGUUUUGGAAAUGUAGCAGUCUCGGCUGUGUUAUAGUCCAUUACUUUGAUACAGUGCUUGGGAUUGAGGAUCGCAGUAAGCCAUUUUAUGGUGGACCAAAUUUUUGGUCUUCUUACUGAGGAUGUUGGUGAAAUAG
This 642-nucleotide ribosomal RNA is filed under the name Neophysopella vitis. RNAcentral describes it as "partial large subunit ribosomal RNA". It matches the Rfam family "Eukaryotic large subunit ribosomal RNA", at positions 10 to 637 of the family's 3401-position model. Lineage: Eukaryota; Fungi; Basidiomycota; Pucciniomycetes; Pucciniales; Crossopsoraceae. The record is from RNAcentral.